Molecule: non-coding RNA, 29 nt
Filed under: Homo sapiens (human)
Lineage: Eukaryota; Metazoa; Chordata; Mammalia; Primates; Hominidae
Source: RNAcentral
UGGAAACACAUUUGUCCCACCAGUGCAGC